RNAcentral lists this ribosomal RNA (256 nucleotides) under uncultured bacterium. RNAcentral's name for it is "partial 16S ribosomal RNA". It matches the Rfam family "Bacterial small subunit ribosomal RNA", at positions 524 to 776 of the family's 1533-position model. The record is from RNAcentral.
UACGUAGGGCGGCAAGCGUUAUCCGGAAUUAUUGGGCGUAAAGAGCUCGUAGGCGGUUUGUCGCGUCUGCCGUGAAAGUCCGGGGCUCAACUCCGGAUCCUGCGGUGGGUACGGGCAGACUAGAGUGAUGUAGGGGAGACUGGAAUUCCUGGUGUAGCGGUAGAAAUGCGCAGAUAUCAGGAGGAACACCGAUGGCGAAGGCAGGUCUCUGGGCAUUAACUGACGCUGAGGAGCGAAAGCAUGGGGAGCGAACAGG